This 329-nucleotide ribosomal RNA is filed under the name uncultured Marinobacter sp. Its description in RNAcentral is "bacterial SSU rRNA". It matches the Rfam family "Bacterial small subunit ribosomal RNA", at positions 1051 to 1378 of the family's 1533-position model. The record is from RNAcentral. Lineage: Bacteria; Pseudomonadati; Pseudomonadota; Gammaproteobacteria; Pseudomonadales; Marinobacteraceae.
GUCGUCAGCUCGUGUCGUGAGAUGUUGGGUUAAGUCCCGUAACGAGCGCAACCCCUAUCCCUGGUUGCUAGCAGGUAAUGCUGAGAACUCCAGGGAGACUGCCGGUGACAAACCGGAGGAAGGUGGGGAUGACGUCAGGUCAUCAUGGCCCUUACGGCCAGGGCUACACACGUGCUACAAUGGUGCGUACAGAGGGCUGCAAGCUCGCGAGAGCAAGCCAAUCCCUUAAAACGCAUCGUAGUCCGGAUCGGAGUCUGCAACUCGACUCCGUGAAGUCGGAAUCGCUAGUAAUCGCGAAUCAGAAUGUCGCGGUGAAUACGUUCCCGGGA